RNAcentral lists this ribosomal RNA (427 nucleotides) under uncultured bacterium. Its description in RNAcentral is "bacterial SSU rRNA". It matches the Rfam family "Bacterial small subunit ribosomal RNA", at positions 355 to 774 of the family's 1533-position model. The record is from RNAcentral.
UGGGGAAUUGUGGACAAUGGGCGCAAGCCUGAUCCAGCAUUGCCGCGUGGAGGAUGAAGGCCUUCGUGUUGUAAACUGCUUUUGUACGGAGCGAAAAGGUCUGCUCUAAUACGGUGGGCUUAUGACGUUACCGUAAGAAUAAGCACCGGCUAACUACGUGCCAGCAGCUGCGGUAAUACGUAGGGUGCGAGCGUUAAUCGGAAGUACUGGGCGUAAAGCGUGCGCAGGCGGUUAUAUAAGACAGAGGUGAAAUCCCCGGGCUCAACCUGGGACCUGCAUUUGUGACUGUAUAGCUAGAGUACGGUAGAGGGGGGUGGAAUUCCGCGUGUAGCAGUGAAAUGCGUAGAUAUGCGGAGGAACACCGAUGGCGAAGGCAAUCCCCUGGACCUGUACUGACGCUCAUGCACGAAAGCGUGGGGAGCAAACA